AUAAGACAUUUUGAGAGAGAGCAAGCACAGUCAUAUAACUUUGAUAUAGUAUAUUGUAAUUGUUUUAUUAUUAGUUAUUAUUUUUCAUCUCUCACUCUCUUUUUUUGGUACUGGAGAUUGAACUCAGGGGCACUUGACCACUGAGCCACAUCCUCAGACCUAUUUUUUAUUUUUAUUUUAGAAAAAGGGUCUCACUGAGUUGCCUAGCACUUCACUUUUGCUGAAGCUGGCUUUGAACUCGUGAUCCUCCUACCUCAGCCUCCUGAGGUACUGGGAUUACAGGUGUGCACCACCACACCAAGCUUAUUUUAAUCUCUUACCCUGCCUAAUUUAUAAGUAAAACUAUCAAGGCUAUGUAUGUAUAAGAAAAAAAUAUCACAAAUAUAGAACUUCGUACUAUGUGUGGUUUCAUGUACACACGGGUGUUUUUGGAUGUAUUCCCUGAGGAUAAGGGAGAACUAUUGUAAAUGCAUUUUAUUAGGAGAUAAAUGCUAGAGAGAAAAAUAGAGCAGGGAAUGGGGAUGGAGGAUAUUGGAUAAGUAUUGCAACUUAAAAUGGGAUGACUUGGCCCAUGGUUAGGGAAAGUCGGUAAAAGUGACUUUUUAGAAAAAUGAGGACAUGUGGGAGCAGCUGAUGAAGAUUUCUGUGCAAAGAGUAGUCCACACAAAGAGAAUCAUAAUUGUGAAGGAAGUGGGGUGGGAUUGUGAUUAUGGAAGGUGCAGGUUUCAGGUAGAAGGGAGGUAGAUGAAGGAAUUUAAGUUUAUAUACAUUGAGAUGUAACUCAACAUUCAGGCAGAGCUAUUAUUAGGUAGAUGGACUUUUGAAUUUGGAAGUCAGAGGAGAUACACAUUUGGGAUUUAUCAACUUAUUAUUGAUAUUCAAUUGUAAAUACCUGAUGGAAUAGCUAAGGGAGGCAAUCUACAUGCAGAAGAGGAGAGUGAAGCACUGAGCCCUGGGAUAUUCCUACACUGACAAGUAGGAUUGUAAAGAAGCGAGCAGUGAGUGGCCUAGGACAAAGGAGGAAAACCAGAGUGUGUAUGGCGUACUUCUAGCAAGGGAGAGAAAGUUUUCAAGGAGAGGCAAUGAUCACUGUGGCAAAUCCUGCUGGUGGGCCAAGAAGAUGAGAACCCAGAAUUGACCAAGAAGGGCACACUAUAUACUCAAUAUGCACAUACAUAUAUAUAUAUAUAUAUAUAUAUAUAUCUUUAAAUCUAUUUGUUUUCUUGUGUAUUGCCUGCUCCCCUCCCAGAAUGUAAGUUCCCUGGUGACUUGGGAUAGUGGGUCUGCUUUUCAUCAUUUUACCACCAGGACCUACCUGGGAGUUGGGUCAUAGUGAACAUUCAAUAAAUAUUUGGUAUUGCAAGAAUUCAAGGGUUAUUAUCCUAGCAUUUUUAGUAAUUCUGAACAUUAUGGAUAGGAAAACAGUCCUGGGUCAAUCUGUAAGGACACUGUCCCAUCUUUAAACAUAGUAUAAUAAAAUGGCAAAUGUUAAGGACUGGCCCAGACCAGCUUCUCAUAUAGUUUAGUGAUUUUAUUUAUGCAACAAUUUUUUAUUGCGUGCCCAUUAUGUUCCAGGCACUGCACUAG
This 1587-nucleotide long non-coding RNA is filed under the name Marmota monax (woodchuck). Lineage: Eukaryota; Metazoa; Chordata; Mammalia; Rodentia; Sciuridae. The record is from RNAcentral.